GGAGAGGUGGCUGAGUGGACGAAGGCGCUCGCCUGGAGAGCGAGUAGACCGCGAAAGCGGUCUCGUGGGUUCGAAUCCCACCCUCUCCG
Molecule: transfer RNA, 89 nt
Filed under: Dictyoglomus turgidum DSM 6724
Lineage: Bacteria; Pseudomonadati; Dictyoglomota; Dictyoglomia; Dictyoglomales; Dictyoglomaceae
Rfam family: tRNA
About the family: Transfer RNA (tRNA) molecules are approximately 80 nucleotides in length. Their secondary structure includes four short double-helical elements and three loops (D, anti-codon, and T loops). Further hydrogen bonds mediate the characteristic L-shaped molecular structure. tRNAs have two regions of fundamental functional importance: the anti-codon, which is responsible for specific mRNA codon recognition, and the 3' end, to which the tRNAs corresponding amino acid is attached (by aminoacyl-tRNA synthetases). tRNAs cope with the degeneracy of the genetic code in two manners: having more than one tRNA (with a specific anti-codon) for a particular amino acid; and 'wobble' base-pairing, i.e. permitting non-standard base-pairing at the 3rd anti-codon position.
Source: Rfam by way of RNAcentral